This 550-nucleotide ribosomal RNA is filed under the name Bacillus danangensis. RNAcentral's name for it is "bacterial SSU rRNA". It matches the Rfam family "Bacterial small subunit ribosomal RNA", at positions 355 to 896 of the family's 1533-position model. Lineage: Bacteria; Bacillati; Bacillota; Bacilli; Caryophanales; Bacillaceae. The record is from RNAcentral.
UAGGGAAUCUUCCGCAAUGGACGAAAGUCUGACGGAGCAACGCCGCGUGGGUGAUGAAGGCUUUCGGGUCGUAAAACUCUGUUGUUAGGGAAGAACAAGUACAAGAGUAACUGCUUGUACCUUGACGGUACCUAACCAGAAAGCCACGGCUAACUACGUGCCAGCAGCCGCGGUAAUACGUAGGUGGCAAGCGUUAUCCGGAAUUAUUGGGCGUAAAGCGCGCGCAGGCGGUUUCUUAAGUCUGAUGUGAAAGCCCACGGCUCAACCGUGGAGGGUCAUUGGAAACUGGGGAACUUGAGUGCAGAAGAGAAAAGCGGAAUUCCACGUGUAGCGGUGAAAUGCGUAGAGAUGUGGAGGAACACCAGUGGCGAAGGCGGCUUUCUGGUCUGUAACUGACGCUGAGGCGCGAAAGCGUGGGGAGCAAACAGGAUUAGAUACCCUGGUAGUCCACGCCGUAAACGAUGAGUGCUAAGUGUUAGAGGGUUUCCACCCUUUAGUGCUGCAGCUAACGCAUUAAGCACUCCGCCUGGGGAGUACAGUCGCAAGACUG